AAAAGUCCAAUAGAGAUUUAUCUCUCCAAGAGUUGAGCACUAAGAUUAACAUAAUUUCUAAGUAUGUGUGCUCAGAAUAUAGUAGAUGGUCAAUUAAUGCUAGAGGGCAGGCUAGUGCUUAGCAGUGACCAUGGAAGCUCUGUGCAAAACAGACCCCACUGCACCCAGAUCAACUGUGGCAGUAGUAAGUUAUUGUUACUAAUUUAAGGAGGGCAGAAGUUAACAACAACUACUCUGGGAGCUGUAAAUUCACAAAUAUUAUUAAUGUGCAGAAAACAGUGACAUAAAAAUAUUACAGUAAAAAACAUAAUUUAAAAACUGGAUAAGAGUUCCAGUACUUUGUAAUAUUGUACCAAUGGCUAU
This 363-nucleotide long non-coding RNA is filed under the name Bos taurus (domestic cattle). RNAcentral describes it as "long non-coding RNA NONBTAT000794". The record is from RNAcentral. Lineage: Eukaryota; Metazoa; Chordata; Mammalia; Artiodactyla; Bovidae.